RNAcentral lists this long non-coding RNA (325 nucleotides) under Chelonoidis abingdonii (Abingdon island giant tortoise). RNAcentral's name for it is "lncRNA (ENSCABG00000000779.1)". The record is from RNAcentral. Lineage: Eukaryota; Metazoa; Chordata; Testudines; Testudinidae.
AGAAAAUGCUAUCCAUGAUGAGACUGUGCCUGAGUCCACUGUACAGAGUGGCAGCUGUCUGAGGAAUGGCAACUUGCAAACCCCAAGAGGGAAAAGGAAGGUCCAAGAACAGUGUGCACGCAUACGAAGAAAUUCUUCCAGGAGCAGGAGAAGGCCAAGCCAGCCGCAGAAUGGAGAAGUGGUUGAAGCAGUUACAUUGUUUGAAGUGGUCAGCAUGGGCAAGAGGGCAAUGCAGUCUGUGGUGGAUGACUGGGUUGAAGCUUAUAUCCAAGAUCGAGAUGUGGCACUUCUAGAUCUGAUCAACUUCUACAUUCAGUGCUCAGGC